AUACGUAGGGGGCGAGCGUUGUCCGGAAUGAUUGGGCGUAAAGGGCGCGUAGGCGGCUCGGUAAGUCUGGAGUGAAAGUCCUGUUUUUAAGAUGGGAAUUGCUUUGGAUACUGUCGGGCUUGAGUGCAGGAGAGGUAAGUGGAAUUCCCAGUGUAGCGGUGAAAUGCGUAGAGAUUGGGAGGAACACCAGUGGCGAAGGCGACUUACUGGACUGUAACUGACGCUGAGGCGCGAAAGUGUGGGGAGCAAACAGGAUUAGAUACCCUGGUAGUCCACACUGUAAACGAUGAAUGCUAGGUGUAGGGGGUAUCGACCCCUUCUGUGCCGCAGUCAACACAAUAAGCAUUCCGCCUGGGGAGUACGGCCGCAAGGUUGAAACUCAAAGGAAUUGGCGGGG
This 397-nucleotide ribosomal RNA is filed under the name uncultured bacterium. RNAcentral's name for it is "partial 16S ribosomal RNA". It matches the Rfam family "Bacterial small subunit ribosomal RNA", at positions 523 to 918 of the family's 1533-position model. The record is from RNAcentral.